CAAAUUAGAGCUUGUUAUAAGUAUUUUAUUUACAUUAAAAUGGAAAUUGUGAGAAUCAAUUUAAUUUGA
RNAcentral lists this transfer RNA (69 nucleotides) under Mylabris aulica. RNAcentral's name for it is "tRNA-Val". Lineage: Eukaryota; Metazoa; Arthropoda; Insecta; Coleoptera; Meloidae. The record is from RNAcentral.